CCUACGGGAGGCUGCAGUGGGGAAUAUUGGACAAUGGGCGAAAGCCUGAUCCAGCCAUGCCGCGUGUGUGAAGAAGGCCUUCGGGUUGUAAAGCACUUUCAGUGGGGAAGAAAGCCUUGGGGCUAAUACCCUCGAGGAAGGACAUCACCCACAGAAGAAGCACCGGCUAACUCCGUGCCAGCAGCCGCGGUAAUACGGAGGGUGCGAGCGUUAAUCGGAAUUACUGGGCGUAAAGCGCGCGUAGGCGGUCUGAUAAGCCGGUUGUGAAAGCCCCGGGCUCAACCUGGGAACGGCAUCCGGAACUGUCAGGCUAGAGAGCAGGAGAGGAAGGUAGAAUUCCCGGUGUAGAGGUGAAAUGCGUAGAGAUCGGGAGGAAUACCAGUGGCGAAGGCGGCCUUCUGGACUGACACUGACGCUGAGGUGCGAAAGCGUGGGUAGCAAACAGGAUUAGAUACCCUAGUAGUC
This 465-nucleotide ribosomal RNA is filed under the name Vreelandella stevensii. RNAcentral's name for it is "partial 16S ribosomal RNA". It matches the Rfam family "Bacterial small subunit ribosomal RNA", at positions 338 to 795 of the family's 1533-position model. The record is from RNAcentral. Lineage: Bacteria; Pseudomonadati; Pseudomonadota; Gammaproteobacteria; Oceanospirillales; Halomonadaceae.